UGUUGAUGGAGAUCUCACCCGCACCUCAAACGACCUCAGAUCAAAUCCAGAUCUGAGAGAAACUUGUACCAACCUCUUUGCAAGAGAUUUUGGGUCCUGUAUUUGAUGCUUGGGUGGCUGCAAGAGAGGGAGAGAAGAAAAUGGCUGGCGGCACAAAGGAGAAGGGGGCUAGCACCUCCCCUUCUUUUCUUUCCUUUUUGGGCCUGGCGGCAAGAAACCCUAGGGUUUCUUGCUCCUGGGGCAUGGAGAAUGGCUGGAGAGAGAGGAAGAAGAGAGAGAGAGACUUGGGAGAAAGAGUCUUGUAUUUCUUGGCUUAAUCAAACCUAUACAAGUACAUGUAUAUAUAAACACAGGGUCAAGUGACCCAAACCCAAAACUCCCUUAACCAACUCUAUGGGAGAUUAGGUU
RNAcentral lists this long non-coding RNA (408 nucleotides) under Elaeis guineensis (African oil palm). Its description in RNAcentral is "long non-coding RNA (EGUI_LNC081740)". The record is from RNAcentral. Lineage: Eukaryota; Viridiplantae; Streptophyta; Magnoliopsida; Arecales; Arecaceae.